CAGCAGCCGCGGGAAUACGAAGGGUGCAAGCGUUAAUCGGAAUUACUGGGCGUAAAGCGCGCGUAGGUGGUUUGGUAAGAUGGAUGUGAAAUCCCCGGGCUCAACCUGGGAACUGCAUCCAUAACUGCCUGACUAGAGUACGGUAGAGGGUGGUGGAAUUUCCUGUGUAGCGGUGAAAUGCGUAGAUAUAGGAAGGAACACCAGUGGCGAAGGCGACCACCUGGACUGAUACUGACACUGAGGUGCGAAAGCGUGGGGAGCAAACAGGAUUAGAUACCCCGGUAGUCCCUGUCUCUUAUCC
Molecule: ribosomal RNA, 301 nt
Filed under: uncultured bacterium
Lineage: Bacteria
Description: partial 16S ribosomal RNA
Rfam family: Bacterial small subunit ribosomal RNA
Source: RNAcentral